This 440-nucleotide ribosomal RNA is filed under the name uncultured bacterium. RNAcentral's name for it is "bacterial SSU rRNA". It matches the Rfam family "Bacterial small subunit ribosomal RNA", at positions 29 to 514 of the family's 1533-position model. The record is from RNAcentral.
AACGAACGCUGGCGGCAUGCCUAACACAUGCAAGUCGAACGAGACCUUCGGGUCUAGUGGCGCACGGGUGCGUAACGCGUGGGAAUCUGCCCCUUGGUUCGGAAUAACAGCGAGAAAUUGCUGCUAAUACCGGAUAAUGACGUAAGUCCAAAGAUUUAUCGCCAAGGGAUGAGCCCGCGUAGGAUUAGCUAGUUGGUGUGGUAAAGGCGCACCAAGGCGACGAUCCUUAGCUGGUCUGAGAGGAUGAUCAGCCACACUGGGACUGAGACACGGCCCAGACUCCUACGGGAGGCAGCAGUGGGGAAUAUUGGACAAUGGGCGAAAGCCUGAUCCAGCAAUGCCGCGUGAGUGAUGAAGGCCUUGGUCGUAAAGCUCUUUUACCAGGAGUGAUAAUGUACAGUACCUGGAGAAUAAGACUCGGCUAACUACCGUGCCAGCAG